GAUGAACGCUGGCGGCGUGCCUAAUACAUGCAAGUCGAGCGAACAGAUGAGGAGCUUGCUCCUCUGACGUUAGCGGCGGACGGGUGAGUAACACGUGGAUAACCUACCUAUAAGACUGGGAUAACUUCGGGAAACCGGAGCUAAUACCGGAUAAUAUAUUGAACCGCAUGGUUCAAUAGUGAAAGACGGUUUUGCUGUCACUUAUAGAUGGAUCCGCGCCGCAUUAGCUAGUUGGUAAGGUAACGGCUUACCAAGGCAACGAUGCGUAGCCGACCUGUGAGAGUGAUCGGCCACACUGGAACUGAGACACGGUCCAGACUACUACGGGAGGCAGCAGUAGGGAAUCUUCCGCAAUGGGCGAAAGCCUGACGGAGCAACGCCGCGUGAGUGAUGAAGGUCUUCGGAUCGUAAAACUCUGUUAUUAGGGAAGAACAAAUGUGUAAGUAACUAUGCACGUCUUGACGGUACCUAAUCAGAAAGCAACGGCUAACUACGUG
RNAcentral lists this ribosomal RNA (497 nucleotides) under uncultured bacterium. RNAcentral's name for it is "partial 16S ribosomal RNA". It matches the Rfam family "Bacterial small subunit ribosomal RNA", at positions 28 to 507 of the family's 1533-position model. The record is from RNAcentral.